Molecule: long non-coding RNA, 2319 nt
Organism: Carya illinoinensis
Lineage: Eukaryota; Viridiplantae; Streptophyta; Magnoliopsida; Fagales; Juglandaceae
Exons: 3
Source: RefSeq, a predicted model, not a curated record
AUUAUUGGGAGCAGCCCCUGUUUAGGAGCAGCCAGCGCACACCUUACGUGGCGCUAAGGUAAAAGACCAAAAUGUCCCCCUUGUUCCCAGCUUUCCGUUCCCUCUCUCACAUUUGAUUUUCUCUCGUAUUCGCUCCUCUCACCCUUCUCUCGAACAGCAGCUUCUCGUCACCCAUCCCCCCACCAGGUAGCUCAGCCCACUCUCCCCCUCGUGUCGCUCGUCAUCUCCCACAAACUCCCCCUCCCGAAUCUCCUCAUCUCUGUGUCUUCUCCGAUCUCAUCCCUCGAAGCUAGUAGCGGCCGGAACCCUCCCCACAUUCUGGACCUCAGCCCUCCUGAAGAGAUCAGUCCUGAAGCCCUCCCUCAGUCCAUUCGACGCGAAGCCCUCAGUCCAUAUAACCAGAAGCCCUCAGUCCAUUCUUCGCGAAGUCGCCGUCAGUCCAUCGACCCGAAGCAGCCCUCAGUCCACCGAGGCGAGCCCGGCGACAGUCCACCGACGCGAGGGAGGGGGGAGCCCACCGACGCGAAGCCACCCUCAUUCCACCAACAUUGAUCCUUCAAAUCUGUGGGAUGAUUUCGAAUCGGUGAUUCUAGGGUUUGGGCAAUUUUUUUUUUGCAAUUUAUUUUUUGAGUCUAUUUACUUCUAUUAUUUUUUGCUCACUGUAUUUGCUAGAAACUAAUGGCAUUGGGGUGUAGAUGUUGCCGAUGUUGCCUCUCAUGGCAUACAUUUGUGUGUGUAUAAAUUUAUCAAGCACUAACAAAGCAUCUUCUGUCAUUUUCUUUGCAGGAAGUGCAAAUGCUCCAAACAGCCAAAAAAGGGGCUAUUUAUUAAUCGCUAUCCAGGUUAUAAGUUCAAGCUCCUGGAUCACUAGUUAUUAAAAAAACUCCUUCAUCACAUAAUGAAAUUCUUAGGUUAGGCUUGAUAUUUGAACUUUAUUAGAUUUUAAUGGUAUUCAUGAUAAACUAUUAGUUAAUAAAAUACAAGAACAAUUCUACCAACUGUUGGGUCUGAGUAGUUGUGGUUUGCAUAUGUGAGAUGAGUUAAGUAGCACAUACCCAUCUAAACAAUGAUGCAUUUUUAUAUUUGAUUCUGCACAUACUAUUAAGCUGUUAAUAAAAAUCUGUUGAUAAUAAUGUUUAGUUUCUGAGUAUGGGUAGGAUUAAAUAAGCUAUUAGUUUAUGUUUUUUGUUUUACUUUUGUCAAGGUCAAUUACUUUGGGGGGUUCUGAGAAAGAUUUUAAGUUAAUGAGUCCCCCUAUUUUUGUUUCUUCAAAAGAGAACUAAGCUUUCUACCCAAUGGUGUUUUUGAGUCUUCCUAUUUGAGAAGAAAGACUCAUUAUCUGAUGUGUGCCAGCCUGGGCUCGUGCAGGGCUAGACACCUUCCUUUUUAUUCACAUGUCAACAAUGUGCCCUUGGCACAACACAACACAACACCAUUGAAUUAUUAUGAUCUUUGUAACUAAGCUUCAGACGCCAUCUAAUAAAGUUCCUUUUUUAACUAUAUGACACUCGGUGGACAGUUAACUACCUGUAUGGUUGACUUUAUGAAACCAUACAUUUUGACUUAAGUAAUUACUUGAUUCCUGCUCCUUUUAUAGCUGGGAAAAAAUUCUCAAGAAGGCCUGGGUUUACCUUCACAUUUUAUUCCCCUCUCUCGAGUUGCACACCUUCCUGCAGGUCCCCCCGCUGUAACGUAAUGAUGUCUUUAUAAUUUACCACACUUUUAUUGGACAAUUCCCAGUGUCUGCACAUUCUGGAGAGAACCUCAAUAAAACCAGUAGAGUAUAUUGAAUCAGUUAUGUCAGCAUCUCAAUCAUCAUCUUCACUUAAUGAUUUUGUCAUGGAAUCUCCAACCUGUUGGUGUGGUUUGAGGACACCACUAAAGACAUCUCACACGUCGAAAAAUCCUGGAAGGAGAUUUUUCGCUUGCCCAAAUUAUAAAACGGGAGAAGCAAGGUGUGAAUUUUUUGUAUGGGCCGAUAUACUUCAUUUGCUAGAGGAAAAUUUUCGUGCCCGUGAGAGUCAUAAGGCGACAAAUAUUACGUGGAAUGAUGUAUUGCAGCGCGAGUAUGCCAUUCGGAAAAGGGAAGAUAAAGUACGAGCGAUAGCAAAGAACCUGAAAAAGCAAAAGCGAAACCUAUUGUGUUUGUAUUGGGUUCUAACUUUUGUAAUAGUGUUUAUUUGGUUUGUCUAAAUUCCCUGUAAAGUAUCUAGCUGGAAGGAGAUUUUGGGGUUGCAUGGUUCUUUUGAAAUGCACAUGGUUUGAACCAAGACCAUUGUCUGUAAAUUGUACCCAACCGUGUAAUACAGAACUUUUUAC